This 128-nucleotide small RNA is filed under the name uncultured Coprococcus sp. RNAcentral describes it as "Clostridiales-1 RNA". It matches the Rfam family "Clostridiales-1 RNA", at positions 25 to 157 of the family's 166-position model. Lineage: Bacteria; Bacillati; Bacillota; Clostridia; Lachnospirales; Lachnospiraceae. The record is from RNAcentral.
CAUAGCAUGCCUGCUAGCAGGCAUGCUGUGUAAUUAUUUGCCGGGCAAACAGACAUGAGCAUGAAGGACGAAAGUCCGGAAUGCGAAUGCCUGUGGCGAUUUUGGGAGUUCGAAGAACGGAGAAAUCG